This is a long non-coding RNA of Dama dama (fallow deer), 3724 nucleotides long. RefSeq lists it as uncharacterized. The transcript has 3 exons. The record is from RefSeq and is a predicted model, not a curated record. NCBI's taxonomy places the organism in Eukaryota, Metazoa, Chordata, Mammalia, Artiodactyla, Cervidae.
GCCGUACCCGAGCCGGUGGCCACGACUGCGCUUCGGCGUCCGCGGCGGGUGUGCUGGUUGGUGCUGGAUGAGAGGAGCUGUACGCGACUGGGCGCGCGGGCUUCGCGGGGCCUGCCCGAGAUACCCUCCUGCACACGUUACGCGCCACAGCCGCUGGGACAUCUUGGCCUAUCUGGUUGACACCUGGGACCUGGACAUCGAGGCCGUCAACCAGGACUACAAGCGGGCUCUCUCUGCACGAGGCUGCUUCCAUGGGACAUCCGGACUGCGUGCUGUACCUGCUGGCCCGGGGGGGCCGCCGGAAACAACCUGACCAAGCCCACCUGUCAAUGACUGCAGGAAAGAAAUUAACACAUUCCCUUCAGAGGCUGAUGUGAACCAGGAAAGAGGCCUUGCUUCCGGCUCUUCAAACCCCAGUUCCUGGUGUGAACCAGCUUGGACGAUGCUCCUGCUUGGGGUGGGGGGCUGUGUGCAGAGAUGCUGCACUGGACACCUUAAUGCAAGAUGGCAAUGAGCCCUGUGAGCCCCAUUACCUGGAGCAGCUGUGCCUGUCUCUGCUCCCCAGAACCCCGCCAACUCUACCUAAUCCCCCGCUGAUGAGAGCCCUAUGGAGCAGCCCCACCCAUGGCCUAUUGGAGAGCGUGGACUGUACAGUGGGUGCUCCACUUCUCAUUUCCUUUGCUUCUCAACACAACUCACUCCAUUGGCGGAGAAACAUUGGGCAGAAGGACCCUUUUGGGGUGGGUACCAGCUUUACUUACAUAUCAAAGGCCAGAGUAAGGAGGAGAUCCUUCCCAGGAGAGGAGAAAGCCCUUCUCAAGCAGCAGAGACAAAGUUUCCUACCGUCCUGCACCUGCUGGUGUGGAACAACUGAUCUGCUCUCAACACACGGCCCCAGGUGCGGUCCUGAGCGAGGGGGCAACACCUGUAUGUUUACCGUGAGAUAUUUAAUAAGGACUAUGUCUCUGAUUGCAAUAACCUGUCCGUGCCUUCAGGAUAAAAGGAACGAAUACUGAGAGCCCAGCCAAAAGCAAGAGUGUCUCAAAGAGGUGAGUGACAGUGAACGCCAAGAGGAAGGAGAAAUUCAGACACACAAGGACUGGAAAGGUAUGGCUUUGAUUCAGUGACGCGGAAAUCAUCAGUGACUUGGGAGCAGUUUUGAGGGAAAGAGAGGGAAGACAGUCUAGAGUUGCUAGAGAUACAGGCAAACCUUUCAAGAAGUUUGUUCUGGGACCUAAGAUUGUCUGGUACAAGUGAGAGGGGAAGACCAGGGUGAGAAAUUUAUAGAAAGGAGAUUUGAAAUCAUCAGAAGAUACAAAUUAAAUAAAAGUAGCAGGAUCACUCGGAGAAGGCAAUGGCAACCGACUCCAGUACUCUUGCCUGGAAAAUCUCAUGGAUGGAGGUGCCUGGUAGGCUUCAGUCCAUGGGGUCGCUAAGAGUCGGACACAACUAAGCGACUUCACUUUCACUUUUCACGUUCAUGCAUUGGAGAAGGAAAUGGCAACCCACUCCAGUGUUCUUGCCUGGAGAAUCCCAGGGACGGGGAAGCCUGGUGGGCUGCCGUCUAUGGGGUCGCACAGAGUCGGACACGACUGAAGCGACUUAGCAGCAGGAUCCCUGGGCAGUGCAGCACGGAGACCCUUGGAGAGGGUAACAGGGGAGAAGGAUCAUCAGUCUCAUAUGAAACUGGAGUUCUCCCAAGUCAGAUAUCUGAGAGGACAGAAAGACAAGGGGAUCAAGGAUUAAGUGAGCAUUAUUAACAUGUCAGCUCUUGGAAUUGUUGGGGAGGGAAAAACUUUCUCCACCCUCUGAGGUUCAGCUAUUGGGAGUCUGCCAGUUAAAUUGACAAAAGCAGAUAACCAUGAGAAAAAACAUUUACAUAGCUUUCCAGGAAUGAUGUACACAUGUGAGAGUUGGACCAUAAACAAGGCUGAGUGCUAAAGAAUUGGUGCUUUCAAACUGUGGUGCUGGAGAAGACUCUUGAGAGUCCCUUGGACUGCAAGGAGAACGAACCAGUCAAUCCUAAAAGAAAUCAACCCUGAAUAUUCAUUGGAAGGACUGAUGCUGAAGCUCCAAAUUUUGGCCACUUAAUGGGAAGAGCUGACUUACAGGAAAAGGCCCUGAUGCUGCGAAAGAUUGCGGCCAGAGGAGAAGGGGGCGACAGAGGAUGAGAUAGUUAUAUGGCAUCUUCGACUAAAUGGACAGUGAGUUUGAGCAAACUCCGGGAGAUGGUGAAGGACAGGAAAGCCUGGCAUGUUGCAGUCCAUGGGGUUGCAAAGAGAUGGACAUGACUGAGCAACGGAACUAUAACAACAACAUGCAGAGGUUCACAAAGAAAUGUGACUUGAAGGGAGUUGAUAUACAACUGGGAGUUGAUAUACUACUUAAUAAAUGACAGGGAACAAAGGAAACUAUAAGUAAGGUGAAAAGACAGCCCUCAGAUUGGGAGAAAAUAAUAGCAAAUGAAGCAACAGACAAAGGAUUAAUCUCAAAAAUAUACAAGCAACUCCUGAAGCUCAAUUCCAGAAAAAUAAAUGACCCAAUCAAAAAAUGGGCCAAAGAACUAAACAGACAUUUCUCCCAAGAAGACAUACAGACGGCUAACAAACACAUGAAAAGAUGCUCAGCAUCACUCAUUAUCAGAGAAAUGCAAAUCAAAACCACAAUGAGGUACCAUUACACUCCAGUCAGGAUGGCUGCUAUCCAAAAGGUCUACAAGCAAUAAAUGCUGGAGAGGGUGUGGAGAAAAGGGAACCCUCUUACACUGUUGGUGGGAAUGCAAACUAGUACAGCCACUAUGGAGAACAGUGUGGAGAUUUCUUAAAAAACUGGAAAUAGCACUGCCGUAUGACCCAGCAAUCCCACUUCUGGGCAUACACACUGAGGAAACCAGCUCUGAAAGAGACACGUGCACCCCAGUGUUUAUCGCAGCACUGUUUAUAAUAGCCAGGACGUGGAAGCAACCUAGAUGCCCAUCAGCAGACGAAUGGAUAAGGAAGCUGUGGUACAUAUACACCAUGGAAUAUUACUCGGCCGUUAAAAAGAAUUCAUUUGAAUCAGUUCUAAUGAGAUGGAUGAAACUGGAGCCCAUUAUACAGAGUGAAGUAAGCCAGAAAGAUAAAGAUCAUUACAGCAUACUAAGACAUAUGUAUGGAAUUUAGAAAGAUGGUAAUCUUAACCCUAUAUGCAAAACCGAAAAAGAGACACAGAUGUACAGAACAGACUUUUGGACUCUGUGGGAGAAGGCGAGGGUGGGAUGUUUCAAGAGAACAGCAUGAAUAUUAUCUAUGGUGAAACAGAUCACCAGCCCAGGUGGGAUGCACGAGACAAGUGCUCGGGCCUGGUGCACUGGGAAGACCCAGAGGAAUUGGGUGGAGUGGGAGGCGGGAGGGGGGAUCAGGAUGGGGAAUACAUGUAACUCCAUGGCUGAUUCACGUCAAUGUAUGACAAAACCCACUGCAAUGUUGUGAAGUAAUUAGCCUCCAACUAAUAAAAAUAAAUGAAAAAAAAAAUGACAGGGAGUAGGACAAAAAGGCAUCUUCUGAAAAACAGGUGACUUGGGGAAGGAGGGGCACUUAUAACAAAAAACAUUUAAGAAAUAUAAAUGGUACUUUAGGAUAUAUGGGAGAUAGGGGAAUUUUGUGAAAAUGUCUGUCUGGCGCUUGGAACUUUUCUCUCAUUUUAACACUGUUUCCAAAAGUAAAUUAAAGUCAAUUAAAACCAA